AUGGCCUGGACCCCUCUCUUGCUCCCCCUCCUCACUCUCUGCACAGGUUCUGUAGCCUCUUCUGAGCUGACUCAGCCACCUGGGGUGUCUGUGGCCUUGGGACAGACGGCCACCAUCAACUGCCAGGGUGAGAGCGUAGAAAGCUAUAAUGCUAACUGGUACCAGCAGAAGCCAGGCAAGGCCCCCAUGCUGGUAAUCUAUGCUAAUAGUGAGCAGCCCUCAGGGAUCCCUGAACGAUUCUCUGGCUCCAGCUCAGAAGGCUCAGCCACCUUGACCAUCAGUGGAGCCCAGGCUGAGGACGAGGCAGACUAUUACUGUCAGGUGUUUGAUUUUAGCGGUAAUGAAGCUCACAGUGACACAGGCUGA
Molecule: non-coding RNA, 366 nt
Organism: Equus quagga
Lineage: Eukaryota; Metazoa; Chordata; Mammalia; Perissodactyla; Equidae
Source: the annotation of a RefSeq genome assembly